CCUACGGGUGGCAGCAGUAGGGAAUUUUGCGCAAUGGGCGAAAGCCUGACGCAGCAAUGCCGCGUGAUCGAGACGCCCUUCGGGGUGUAAAGAUCUGUCAGUGGGGGCGAAACUUGACGGUACUCACAGAGGAAGCACCGGCUAACUCCGUGCCAGCAGCCGCGGUAAUACGGGGGGUGCAAGCGGUGUCGGGAUUCAUUGGGCUAAAAGGGAGCGUAGGUGGGCGUUCAAGUCAGCUGUAAAAUCGCGCGGCUCAACCGCGUCCCGCAGGUGAAACUGGACGGCUUGAGUUCACAACAGGCGGGCGGAAUUCGUGGUGUAGCGGUGAAAUGCAUAGAGAUCACGAGGAACCCCGAUUGCGAAGGCAGCCUGCCGGGGUGAGACUGACGCUGAGGCUCGAAGGUGCGGGUAUCAAACAGGAUUAGAUACCCGUGUAGUC
This 439-nucleotide ribosomal RNA is filed under the name uncultured bacterium. RNAcentral describes it as "partial 16S ribosomal RNA". It matches the Rfam family "Bacterial small subunit ribosomal RNA", at positions 338 to 795 of the family's 1533-position model. The record is from RNAcentral.